RNAcentral lists this ribosomal RNA (618 nucleotides) under uncultured bacterium. RNAcentral describes it as "bacterial SSU rRNA". It matches the Rfam family "Bacterial small subunit ribosomal RNA", at positions 202 to 847 of the family's 1533-position model. The record is from RNAcentral.
GAAAGAUUUAUUGCUAAGAGGUCGGCCCGCGGUAGAUUAGGCAGUUGGUGGGGUAAAGGCCUACCAAACCUACGAUCUAUAGCUGGUCUGAGAGGACGAUCAGCCACAUUGGAAGUGAGACACGGUCCAGACUCCUACGGGAGGCAGCAGUGAGGAAUAUUGGGCAAUGGAGGCAACUCUGACCCAGCCAUGCCGCGUGAGUGACGAAGGUUUUCGAAUUGUAAAGCUCUUUCGGGUGUGAAGAUGAUGACGGUAACACCAGAAGAAGCCCCGGCAAACUUCGUGCCAGCAGCCGCGGUAAUACGAAGGGGGCGAGCGUUGUUCGGAAUUACUGGGCGUAAAGGGUGUGUAGGCGGUUAAGUAAGAUAGUGGUGAAAUGCCGGGGCUCAACCUCGGAAUUGCCAUUAUGACUAUUUAGCUAGAAUGAUGCAGAGGAUAGCGGAAUACCCAGUGUAGAGGUGAAAUUCGUAGAUACUGGGUAGAACACCAGAGGCGAAGGCGGCUAUCUGGGCAUUGAUUGACGCUGAGGCACGAAAGCAUGGGGAUCAAACAGGAUUAGAUACCCUGGUAGUCCAUGCUGUAAAAGAUGAAUGCUAGUUGUUGGAGGAAUUCAGUGAC